AGCUUUGUCCAGUGGGAGUAUCAUAAACAGUGAGGUUGAUCCAAAGCAUGAUUAUUGCUAAUAGAUAGAGCACUAGGCAAUUAUCAAGACAUCCAUACAUUUGGGAAUGAUUAUAAUAUC
RNAcentral lists this small nuclear RNA (120 nucleotides) under Mus pahari (shrew mouse). RNAcentral describes it as "snRNA (MGP_PahariEiJ_G0033904.1)". The record is from RNAcentral. Lineage: Eukaryota; Metazoa; Chordata; Mammalia; Rodentia; Muridae.